UAAUGUAUGGGGAUCUGCCCGAUAGAGGGGAUAAUACUGGAAACGGUGGCUAAUACCGCAUAAUGUCUACGGACCAAAGCAGGGGCUCUUCGGACCUUGCACUAUCGGAUGAACCCAUAUGGGAUUAGCUAGUAGGUGGGGUAAAGGCUCACCUAGGCGACGAUCUCUAGCUGGUCUGAGAGGAUGAUCAGCCACACUGGGACUGAGACACGGCCCAG
This 218-nucleotide ribosomal RNA is filed under the name uncultured bacterium. RNAcentral's name for it is "partial 16S ribosomal RNA". It matches the Rfam family "Bacterial small subunit ribosomal RNA", at positions 111 to 334 of the family's 1533-position model. The record is from RNAcentral.